AGUAUCGUUACUUCUCCAAUCGUAAGUUGGUUAACAACGUUAAUUCUACGGCCAAUAAAUUAAUCUAAGUGUACUCUGUGUAACAAGGAAAACGAUUUUGCUGGCGGCAGCAUCUUGGAGAAGAGCAAUUCCUUCAAUUUGCCCACUGGUUCAUUGAUAGCCAAGCCUUUGACCCAUUUUUCAUGACCGUGAACGUGAGCUAGAGAGCCAUUAAAAGCGUCAUUGUCACAACUACUAGAAAGACACGAGACGAUCCUUUAAUUGCAAACACUUGCCCUGCUAACUGACGUACUUGUGCUUGGAACAGUCUAAGAUACAAAGACGAAAUAAAAGCGUCAUUUCAAAGUUCCCGAGAUAUCUAAUCGAGCAAAGAUCAAUGAUCAAAUAAAAUUAUUCAAAUCCUAUCGAUUAUCAUAUCAUUGAUAACAUAUUUCUACAUUUUUUUCAUCGAAAUUAUAUUUAUUAAAUCUACUAUCAAAAUCUACUAUAAAAUUCUUCGAAUAAAAAAAAAUGGCGUCUGAAUUUAAGGAACGAGUGUACUUUUCUGAAGUGAUACACAUCAGAAAGAGAAGAAAAAUGAUACCUGCGAGGAUUCAGCUGCGACCCCGCAUAAUUUUGAAUAGAAUAGAUUCCACACCACACCCUUCAAACUUUAGAAACUUGUUUGAGAAGAUCUUGGCUUCAAGAUCUUGUGUGGUAUGCAAUUGGACAAACGUGACUUUCUUGAGAUUUAAUGCGAC
Molecule: long non-coding RNA, 740 nt
Organism: Apis florea (little honeybee)
Lineage: Eukaryota; Metazoa; Arthropoda; Insecta; Hymenoptera; Apidae
Source: RefSeq, a predicted model, not a curated record